This 565-nucleotide ribosomal RNA is filed under the name Salmonella enterica subsp. enterica serovar Newport. Its description in RNAcentral is "partial 23S ribosomal RNA". It matches the Rfam family "Bacterial large subunit ribosomal RNA", at positions 470 to 1035 of the family's 2925-position model. The record is from RNAcentral. Lineage: Bacteria; Pseudomonadati; Pseudomonadota; Gammaproteobacteria; Enterobacterales; Enterobacteriaceae.
AUACUCCUGACUGACCGAUAGUGAACCAGUACCGUGAGGGAAAGGCGAAAAGAACCCCGGCGAGGGGAGUGAAAAAGAACCUGAAACCGUGUACGUACAAGCAGUGGGAGCACCCUUUGGGGUGUGACUGCGUACCUUUUGUAUAAUGGGUCAGCGACUUAUAUUCUGUAGCAAGGUUAACCGUAUAGGGGAGCCGAAGGGAAACCGAGUCUUAACCGGGCGUUAAGUUGCAGGGUAUAGACCCGAAACCCGGUGAUCUAGCCAUGGGCAGGUUGAAGGUUGGGUAACACUAACUGGAGGACCGAACCGACUAAUGUUGAAAAAUUAGCGGAUGACCUGUGGCUGGGGGUGAAAGGCCAAUCAAACCGGGAGAUAGCUGGUUCUCCCCGAAAGCUAUUUAGGUAGCGCCUCGUGAAUUCAUCUCCGGGGGUAGAGCACUGUUUCGGCUAGGGGGCCAUCCCGGCUUACCAACCCGAUGCAAACUGCGAAUACCGGAGAAUGUUAUCACGGGAGACACACGGCGGGUGCUAACGUCCGUCGUGAAGAGGGAAACAACCCAGACCGC